ACUACUGACAUGAAACACAUUUCACUUCGUAUUCUGUGCCAUGUAGUGCCACACAUUUUAUACUUGAGCUUUGGUUUGAGGCUUUGUCGGUUUGAGUCAGUGCUCGUGUCCUGUGGUAGAUAUAACAAAAAUUUGUGCGAAUUAUAGGAAAAACGCGUUUUUCCUUAUAAUUUCGUCAAAUUUGCGUUGUGCGUGUUAGUAGUGUGUGGCUUCGUUGAGUAGUUUUUUUCCCGGCUGCUUUGCUGCGCUUCCUGUUGUUGGUUGUUGCAUAUUAUCGUAUCCCUACAUCGUUACAUAUCAGAACAGUUUAUUACUGUGUAUUAAAUUGUACAUUUCCAGUUAUCGCUUGGAGUGUUCUGUAUGUUAUAUUCCCGUAUUUUAAUUUGUUGUCGAUAUACCAGUAUAUUCAAGAGGCACACCAUCCGGCAUCCAGUCAUAUAAUUAUAAUAUCCGUGUGUCAACCAUCGCAUAACGAAAGAGCGUCAUCUUGUUACAUCAAUACCUUAUCAGAAAAUAUCAGGAAAAUAUAUUUGACAAGUGAAACACGGCGACGAAAUACUCACCCAUAUACCGUCAAUUAUUGUGUCUGUAGCGUGGUUAUUUCCUGUGUGUGAAUUAUAUUCCAUACAAUUUUGAAUGAAGAUGGCAACGGCAACGGUUAACGGUCUUGGCUUGGAUCCCUCUCCGACUAAUCCGAAUACAUCCUCCAAUUCUGCAUCGGGUUCUUCUUCCCCUGGACCAACAUCCAACCAUAUACAGAGUAUAACCGAUGUAUCCAACGGCUUUAAUGGCAACAAAAUAAUAAACAUGCCUAAAGACAGCGAUGCCAUCAAAUUGUUCGUCGGCCAAAUUCCCCGGCAUUUAAUGGAAAAAGAUCUCAAGCCUCUUUUUGAACAGUUUGGAAAAAUACACGAACUCAUUGUGCUUAAAGACAAGUAUACUGGAGUACACAAAGGUUGCGCAUUCCUUACAUACUGUGACCGCGAAAGUGCUAUCAGAUGUCAGAACACCCUUCAUCAACAAAAAACCCUUCCUGGGAUGACACGACCAAUUCAAGUGAAGCCGGCGGAUAGUGAAUCCCGAGCCGAGGAUCGAAAGCUCUUUGUGGGCAUGCUGGGAAAACAGCAGACGGAAGAGGAUGUUCGUAAAUUAUUUGAGCCAUACGGAAACAUCGAGGAGUGUACGGUGCUGCGCAAUAACGAAGGAUCUAGUCGAGGCUGUGCCUUUGUCAAAUUCUCCACUCCUGCUGAAGCACAGUCAGCAAUUUCCGCCUUACACGGAGCACAAACAAUGCCUGGAGCAUCGUCGAGCCUGGUGGUCAAAAUUGCUGAUACGGAAAAAGAACGCCAAGUUCGACGCAUGCAACAAAUGGCAAGCCACAUGGGACUGAAUAGUUUACUGAAUCCUUUGCUCCUCAACGCCUCCGCCAAUGCGUACGCUCAGCAAGCGGCACUCAUGGGAAUGAAUUCACUGAACUCCAGCCCCUUCGUUAACCCGGUGCUGAGCGCAGCCGCCGCGGGUUCGCAGUUCAACAGCUUGGGCACGACAUCCAUGGGCACCGUGGGCGGCAGUCAGAACCUGAGCAAUCCGCUCAGUCAUCUGUCCGGCAACAGUUUCAGUAACGCCAGCCUACCCGGAAGUAUGCCGUCGCUCGAUGCACUGGCGCUGCAAGCCCAAGCGGCCCAUCAGUUUGCCCCAGGUAGAUCAUCACGGGACUCCGUCGAAAGUUCCGUCGCGCGCGGUCACGUGCUGCAGAAGAAACGGAAAGAGUGUGGUGUAUCUGGUGGAAAUACGAUGCACAGUGGGGAUAAUAUGAACCAAAGUUUUCCGCAUUCGCUGAAUCAGUAUCAGGGUAUCAGUUUAUACUCCGGACAUGGCGAUGCUAACGCAUGCCGUCGAUAUUUUGCGGCCUGAUGCGUUAAAAGCCGCAGUUGGGUUCGUUUUCCACGAUCGCCGCUUCUCUCAUGCUAUCAUCGGGUGGUGGAUGUGGAAAACCCCAAUGUUUAACCCGAUCAGUCUCUACACAUGCUUCUCUCUUCAAGUUGACUUGAUUUUGCACACUUCCUACACCAAAUAAACCUUUUAUAUCCACAGCUAUAAACACUCUAGCCUCUUUUAAAGCAGAUGAUUUACUUUCAUUUUAUACUGCUCAUCAUUAUUACUUAUUCAUCGGUUUCAUUUUGGCCAACUCUUAACUCUUCGCCGGCACAACCGGGUAUAACUAUCCUACAAAUCAGCUACGCAUUUAAUACGAGCUCGUACAAUACAAUUUGCUGUUACCUUGUUUGCGUAUGCAAAACAUUUUAAACGUAAAAUAUUGUUUUAGGAAACGUUUAUACCAUUUACAUAAGACAUGAAGCUACAUACUCACUAAUAUUCUUGUGGAGCAAAUGCGGAUCAUUUUCUAAUACAGAUCUGUGUUGAGUCAGAGUUCGUUUGCGUUCUUGGGUGGUGCUGCUUAUCUCCAAUUUUAGAGCAUAUUGGCACUUACAAUAAUAACUGCCAAACUUAUUGUUAUUUUUGAGUUAACAGUCUUCCUUGAAAUUUAUAACGGUGCUCCGUUUCGGUUGCAGGUUUGUGGGUAUGACAGUUCCGCAAAUGCUCAGGCCGCACUUUCCGCUCUCAAUAAUUACCAAAUGGGACAAAAGCGUAUGAAAGUACAAUUAAAAAAGCCCAAAGACUCCAAUGGUCGCAUGUUUUAAUCAGCGAUCGAUUAAAUUAUGUAUGCUCCGAUAUUUAGCAAGAUUACUUAUAUUACAAUUAUCUCACAACAUAUAUCCAUAAUUUUCCAUUAUCUUUCCUUAUGGCGACCCGGAUGCUCAACUGUGCCGGCGGAAGUAUUCAUACGCAACCUUUUGUUAUUAAUAUACCUACAGUGCUGCGGGAUAGUCAGAAAUCCCAUAACUGAAUGGCUCAGUUCCAAGCUUCCAGUUUUUGAGUGUGUGCCAUAUAUGUUUGAGAAUGAAUACUGGGCCAAGCAGAAUGUUGGACAAUUUUUUGCACAUCAAAACGUGGAGAGAGAGAGACUGAUGGCCGUCAGUUGGUUUUUACCAAAUGAUUUUAGGAUUUUUCACUGUUUUACCAAAGUUCUUACUUUAUUCAGCAGACAGUUUUUUUUCGUUUUAUAUUUUACAGACGAUAUAUCAUUUACGUUGUUAUACUUAAAUAAACUGCUUGUAACGGCUUAUGCAAUAUGCUGUGUAUUUUGCCGUCUUCGUUGAAUGCUUUAGAUUUCAAACUGACCAACUGUUGCCGAAAUUCUAAUCCUGAAGUUGUUUUAGCUGGUAUGGUGUGUCACGUAUUUAACCCGUAUUUAAGUGCGCUGUUGUUCAUUGCUGUUCAUAUUUAGCCUUUUACGUUUUAUUUUGUUUUUUAAAGCAAAUAAAAUUUGUCUGUGGAA
This is an RNA transcript of Paramacrobiotus metropolitanus, 3400 nucleotides long. It is a transcript of the gene named CUGBP Elav-like family member 4, with no coding region annotated. The transcript is spliced from 9 exons. Lineage: Eukaryota; Metazoa; Tardigrada; Eutardigrada; Parachela; Macrobiotidae. The record is from RefSeq and is a predicted model, not a curated record.